AAAGCCAAAAUCAGCCAUCUUCUUCCCCAUAGCUGCCGAAAUUCCUAGAGCUCCAUAAGCUAGGGUUUUCAACAUUUCAAGCUCAAUAAGUCCGCGGACUCGUGAAGAUUGGAAAAGGAUUGGAGUAUUGUCAACACUAUCAGCUUAUCUUACUUUGGUAUAUAGAUACCUUUACUUUAUUACAAUGGCAUGUAUAGGUUUUUGGUUAUUUUGUUAUAUGUGUCAUUGAUUAACCAAUGUAAGGGCUUAAAUGAUAUACCUAUUCAUUUUGUAUAUGGCCAUAAAACAUGGCUCAUUUUGAUGUAGGUUGUAACCUACUAAUUGUGCAUGUUGGUGUUUAAAUGUUCAUGAGAUGGUUAAAUGUGGUAUAUCAUGAAUGGACAUAUGGAAUAUAGUUAAA
This is a long non-coding RNA of Gossypium arboreum, 400 nucleotides long. RefSeq lists it as uncharacterized. The transcript has 2 exons. Lineage: Eukaryota; Viridiplantae; Streptophyta; Magnoliopsida; Malvales; Malvaceae. The record is from RefSeq and is a predicted model, not a curated record.